AGCAGCCGCGGUAAUUCCAGCUCCAAUAGCGUAUAUUAAAGUUGCUGCAGUUAAAAGCUCGUAGUUGAAUUUCGGGACCAUCAUGUCGGUCGUGCCUCGGUACGUACUGGCAUUGUUGGUUUCUACCUUCUGACGAACCAUGAUGUCAUUUAUUUGGUGUCGUGGGAAAUCAGGACUGUUACUUUGAAAAAUUGAGUGUUUAAAGCAGGCUCACGCUUGAAUACAUUAGCAUGGAAUAAUGAAAUAGGACGUUUGAUUCUAUUUUGUUGGUUUCUAGGAUCGACGUAAUGAUUAAUAGGGAUAGUUGGGGGCAUUAGUAUUCAAUUGUCAGAGGUGAAAUUCUUGGAUUUAUUGAAGACUAACUACUGUGAAAGCAUUUGCCAAGGAUGU
RNAcentral lists this unclassified non-coding RNA (390 nucleotides) under uncultured Glomus. RNAcentral describes it as "SSU rRNA". It matches the Rfam family "Eukaryotic small subunit ribosomal RNA", at positions 569 to 967 of the family's 1831-position model. Lineage: Eukaryota; Fungi; Glomeromycota; Glomeromycetes; Glomerales; Glomeraceae. The record is from RNAcentral.